RNAcentral lists this long non-coding RNA (525 nucleotides) under Phoenix dactylifera (date palm). RNAcentral describes it as "long non-coding RNA (PDAC_LNC021509)". The record is from RNAcentral. Lineage: Eukaryota; Viridiplantae; Streptophyta; Magnoliopsida; Arecales; Arecaceae.
CUAAUGUCCCCCGGACAUAUGCAGUGUACCCUUCGUCCCCUAAGGCCAUAUUGCUAAAAAGUUCUCUAACUAGGCCGGGGUAGGUCGAGGUAUUUAGGGUACAAAGGUGCUCCCACCCUUGGGCUCGGAGUCUCUCUCCAAUAGAGAACCCCUCAUGAUCUAAAAAUGAGAAAUCUAUGUACCUUCCGGUCGUGACUGUGCGAUUUGCACAGGAAAUAGUCGUGGUUGGUGGAGCAACCGGAGGAGACGGCGGGGAAUGUUCUUCCCUCCGUUCCUCAUCGUCGGCCGCUGCCCUAGGUCGCCUUCCACGGGUUGUCCUAGCUCUUUUGGGUGCCAUGAUUGGAAAUCCUAAGAAAAAGUGGAGAAGGAGGCUAGGGUUUGUGAUGGAGAACAAAUGGAGGCUAGGGUUUUCGUUUUUGGUCGGGGAUGAGAGAAGAUAGCUCGGGUCGGCUCGAGCUGUUUCACUUAUUUUAAAAACCCUAGUUCGGUCCCCGAGACGUCUCCGCGACUAAGGCGAGACGUCUC